UUUAUUUGGAUUCAAGGUUUUGUGAAUUCCUUGUAUUUUAAGUAACAAUUUAAUUUAAAAAAAACUAUUAGUGUAGUCUGAAAACUACAAUAUAUACCUAGAAGUAGAUAAUGAUAAUAAACUCUCCUUCUACUUUGUAUUUUAAAGUUUAUACAGGAGUCACAAUGGACACAGAAAGGUAUACAGUUCAUUCAUCCAAUUUGUCUUGAUCUAUCAACAUCAGUGCUUAUUUUUACUUUGCAAAUUUUUAAUUUUUUCAACAACAUGUGAUCCCAAGAAUUGCAAUUAAAAGGGUCGUUGGCUCAAAUGGACGUGGAUUCUCAUUGAAAGACAAUCAUGGAAAUACUUAUUGAAAGCUUCAGAAUCGCAGGGACAGUUUCACAGUUCGGUGUUCUCUAUGGCGUUCAAAGUGCCCUGCCCGCGGUAAAGUUUUGAAUGGUGAACCAAAUACAGUCCUAUUGAAUAUUGGACAUCAGUAUAACAGAGAACCAGUAGUAUUGGCUGAAUUUAGAAAAACUCUACACCAACGAGCAUAAAAUGAACGUUUACAACUACAUACUAUUUACAAUGAGGUUUCUGCAUUGCCAAAUUACAUGGACGCAAAUUUACCUCCGUUUGAGGCACACCGGCGACAAAUGGCACAAACUUGGAGUGCUAACAGACCACCAAAUCCCAUAUCGUUGACUGAACAGCAACUAAAAAAUAAUCAAUAUGCAGAGUUAUUAAAAAUCUAGGAACAAUCUUUUUUUCAUGGACAAACUGGUAUGAUAGAAGAAGAAGGUAUUGUUUUGGUUUUUGUACCUCAAGUUUAAAACAUUUUUAGGACAAGCCAACAUUUUUAUAUCGAUGGCACAUUUUAUGCUGCACUAAGCUUUGGUGGACAAUGUCAGCAACUAUUAAUUGUUAUUAUGGGUGUUAUGAGUUAUUUUAUUGAAAUUAAUUUCAUUUUUUUUUUUAUGAAACUCAUAUUUGGGCGGUUUUUAACAUCAGUUAAAAUAUAUAAUAAUAUGAAA
Molecule: long non-coding RNA, 1013 nt
Organism: Acyrthosiphon pisum (pea aphid)
Lineage: Eukaryota; Metazoa; Arthropoda; Insecta; Hemiptera; Aphididae
Exons: 3
Source: RefSeq, a predicted model, not a curated record